Molecule: ribosomal RNA, 269 nt
Filed under: uncultured prokaryote
Description: partial 16S ribosomal RNA
Rfam family: Bacterial small subunit ribosomal RNA
Source: RNAcentral
UACGGAGGGUGCAAGCGUUAAUCGGAAUUACUGGGCGUAAAGCGCGCGUAGGCGGUCUGUUAAGUCAGAUGUGAAAGCCCUGGGCUUAACCUGGGAACUGCAUUUGAAACUGGCGGACUAGAGUAUGGUAGAGGGAAGUGGAAUUCCGGGUGUAGCGGUGAAAUGCGUAGAUAUCCGGAAGAACAUCAGUGGCGAAGGCGGCUUCCUGGACCAAUACUGACGCUGAGGUGCGAAAGCGUGGGGAGCAAACAGGAUUAGAUACCCCCGUA